Molecule: RNase P RNA, 262 nt
Filed under: Syntrophomonadaceae bacterium
Lineage: Bacteria; Bacillati; Bacillota; Clostridia; Eubacteriales; Syntrophomonadaceae
Description: partial RNase P RNA component class A
Rfam family: Bacterial RNase P class A
About the family: Ribonuclease P (RNase P) is a ubiquitous endoribonuclease, found in archaea, bacteria and eukarya as well as chloroplasts and mitochondria. Its best characterised activity is the generation of mature 5'-ends of tRNAs by cleaving the 5'-leader elements of precursor-tRNAs.
Source: RNAcentral
UAAGUAAAUCAGAUAGUCGCAGGUAAUUACCUGAGGAAAGUCGGAGCUCCACAGGGCAAGGUGCUGGAUAACAUCCAGUGGGGGUGACCCCAAGGAAAGUGCCACAGAAAUAAACCGCCUCUAAUUGAGGUAAGGAUGGAACGGUGAGGUAAGAGCUCACCAGCAUUUAGGCGACUAAAUGGCUAGGUAAACCCCACCCGGAGCAAGACCAAAUAGGGGAACUAUGAAGUUGCCCGCUUCGUUCCCGGGUUAGGUCGCUGGA